CGGAAUGUUCUCAGGAAGAUGACUCAAUGAUCCAGUUGUGCAUCUUUAAUUGAUAUUCCUAGAGUAAGAAAGUUCGACGGAGUUUUACCCAAUUCGCAAAUGACCUUUCGCUUCAUUUGGGUGCUGAUUUAAUUUCGUACACCU
Molecule: small nucleolar RNA, 144 nt
Organism: Drosophila melanogaster (fruit fly)
Lineage: Eukaryota; Metazoa; Arthropoda; Insecta; Diptera; Drosophilidae
Source: Ensembl